AUUGAACGCUGGCGGCAGGCCUAACACAUGCAAGUCGAACGAGUGGCGGACGGGUGAGUAAUGUCUGGGAAACUGCCUGAUUGAGGGGGAUAACUACUGGAAACGGUAUCUAAUACCGCAUACCAUCAGAUGUGCCCAGAUUGGCUUAGCGUGUUGGUGGGGGAACGGCUUACCAAGGCGACGAUGCCUAGCUGGUCUGAGAGGAUGACCGGCCACCUUGGAACUGAGACACGGCCCAGACUCCUACGGGAGGCAGCAGUGGGGAAUAUUGCACAAUGGGCGCAAGCCUGAUGCAGCCAUGCCGCGUGUAUGAAGAAGGUCUUCGGGUUGUAAAGUACUGUCAGCGGGGAGGCGUUACCCGCAGAAGAAGCACCGGCUAACUCCGUGCCAGCAGCCGCGGUAAUUC
RNAcentral lists this ribosomal RNA (406 nucleotides) under uncultured bacterium. RNAcentral's name for it is "partial 16S ribosomal RNA". It matches the Rfam family "Bacterial small subunit ribosomal RNA", at positions 30 to 526 of the family's 1533-position model. The record is from RNAcentral.